This 2275-nucleotide ribosomal RNA is filed under the name wastewater metagenome. Its description in RNAcentral is "bacterial LSU rRNA". It matches the Rfam family "Bacterial large subunit ribosomal RNA", at positions 3 to 2313 of the family's 2925-position model. The record is from RNAcentral.
UCAAGUAAUUAAGUGCAUGUGGUGGAUGCCUUGGCAGUCAGAGGCGAUGAAAGACGUAAUAGCCUGCGAUAAGCUCCGGGGAGGCGGCAAAUAUCCUGUGAUCCGGAGAUUUCUGAAUGGGGAAACCCACCUGUCAUAAGGCAGGUAUCGUAUGAUGAAUACAUAGUCAUACGAGGCGAACGAGGGGAAGUGAAACAUCUCAGUACCCUUAGGAAAAGAAAUCAAUUGAGAUUCCCUUAGUAGCGGCGAGCGAACGGGGAAAAGCCCAUUAAGUUAUAUAAGUUCUAGUGGAAUGCUCUGGGAAGUGCAACCAUAGUGGGUGAUAGUCCUGUACACGAAAGGGCUUAGAUAAUGAUGUCGAGUAGGGCGAGGCACGUGAAACCUUGUCUGAAUAUGGGGGGACCAUCCUCCAAGGCUAAAUACUCCUGACUGACCGAUAGUGAACCAGUACCGUGAGGGAAAGGCGAAAAGAACCCCUGUGAGGGGAGUGAAAUAGAUCCUGAAACCGCAUGCAUACAAGCAGUGGGAGCCGACUUGUUCGGUGACUGCGUACCUUUUGUAUAAUGGGUCAGCGACUUACAUUCAGUAGCAAGGUUAACCGCAUAGGGGAGCCGUAGAGAAAUCGAGUCUUAAUAGGGCGUUUAGUUGCUGGGUGUAGACCCGAAACCAGGUGAUCUAUCCAUGAGCAGGUUGAAGGUUGGGUAACACUAACUGGAGGACCGAACCCACUGUCGUUGAAAAGCCAGGGGAUGACUUGUGGAUAGGGGUGAAAGGCUAAUCAAACUCGGUGAUAGCUGGUUCUCCCCGAAAGCUAUUUAGGUAGCGCCUCGGACGAAUACCAUUGGGGGUAGAGCACUGUUUCGGCUAGGGGGUCAUCCCGACUUACCAAACCGAUGCAAACUCCGAAUACCAAUGAGUACUAUCCGGGAGACAGACUGCGGGUGCUAACGUCCGUAGUCAAGAGGAAAACAAUCCAGACCGCCAGCUAAGGCCCCAAAAUUAUAGUUAAGUGGGAAACGAUGUGGGAAGGCAUAGACAGCUAGGAGGUUGGCUUAGAAGCAGCCACCCUUUAAAGAAAGCGUAAUAGCUCACUAGUCGAGUCGGCCUGCGCGGAAGAUGUAACGGGGCUAAAACUAUAUGCCGAAGCUGCGGAUUUGCAAUUUAUUGCAAGUGGUAGGGGAGCGUUCUGUAAGCCGAUGAAGGUGUAUUGAGAAGUAUGCUGGAGGUAUCAGAAGUGCGAAUGCUGACGUGAGUAACGACAAUGCGAGUGAAAAACUCGCACGCUGAAAGACCAAGGGUUCCAGUCCAACGUUAAUCGGGGCUGGGUGAGUCGACCCCUAAGGCGAGGCCGAGAGGCGUAGUCGAUGGGAAAUUGGUUAAUAUUCCAAUACUUCUGUGUAAUGCGAUGAGAGGACGGAGAAGGUUAAGUCAGCCUGGCGUUGGUUGUCCAGGUGGAAGGUUGUAGGCAUGUAUCUUAGGCAAAUCCGGGGUACUCUAUGCUGAGAACUGAUAGCAAGCUGUACUUGUACAGUGAAGUGGCUGAUACCAUGCUUCCAGGAAAAGUCUCUAAGCUUCAGUUACACAGGAAUCGUACCCGAAACCGACACAGGUGGUCAGGUCGAGUAGACCAAAGCGCUUGAGAGAACUCUGCUGAAGGAACUAGGCAAAAUGGUACCGUAACUUCGGGAGAAGGUACGCUGCCGACGGUGAUAGGAUUUACUCCUUGAGCUAUUGGCAGCCACAGAAACCAGGCCCCUGCAACUGUUUAUUAAAAACAUAGCACUCUGCAAACACGAAAGUGGACGUAUAGGGUGUGAUGCCUGCCCGGUGCUGGAAGGUUAAUUGAUGGGGUUAGCGUAAGCGAAGCUCUUGAUCGAAGCCCCAGUAAACGGCGGCCGUAACUAUAACGGUCCUAAGGUAGCGAAAUUCCUUGUCGGGUAAGUUCCGACCUGCACGAAUGGCAUAAUGAUGGGGGCGCUGUCUCCAGCAGAGACUCAGUGAAAUCGAAUUCGCCGUGAAGAUGCGGUGUACCCGCGGCUAGACGGAAAGACCCCGUGAACCUUUACUGCAGCUUGACAUUGAACUUUGAUCUUACUUGUGUAGGAUAGGUGGGAGGCUUUGAAACCGAGACGCUAGUUUCGGUGGAGCCAAUCUUGAAAUACCACCCUGGUAAUAUUGAGGUUCUAACUCUGUCCCGUUAUCCGGGACGAGGACCAUGUCUGGUGGGUAGUUUGACUGGGGCGGUCUCCUCCUAAAGAGUAACGGAGGAGUACGA